GAUGAACGCUGGCGGCGUGCCUAAUACAUGCAAGUCGAGCGAACAGACGAGGAGCUUGCUCCUCUGACGUUAGCGGCGGACGGGUGAGUAACACGUGGAUAACCUACCUAUAAGACUGGGAUAACUUCGGGAAACCGGAGCUAAUACCGGAUAAUAUAUUGAACCGCAUGGUUCAAUAGUGAAAGACGGUUUUGCUGUCACUUAUAGAUGGAUCCGCGCCGCAUUAGCUAGUUGGUAAGGUAACGGCUAACCAAGGCAACGAUGCGUAGCCGCCCUGAGAGGGUGAUCGGCCACACUGGAACUGAGACACGGUCCAGACUCCUACGGGAGGCAGCAGUAGGGAAUCUUCCGCAAUGGGCGAAAGCCUGACGGAGCAACGCCGCGUGAGUGAUGAAGGUCUUCGGAUCGUAAAACUCUGUUAUUAGGGAAGAACAAAUGUGUAAGUAACUAUGCACGUCUUGACGGUACCUAAUCAGAAAGCCACGGCUAACUACGUG
This 497-nucleotide ribosomal RNA is filed under the name uncultured bacterium. Its description in RNAcentral is "partial 16S ribosomal RNA". It matches the Rfam family "Bacterial small subunit ribosomal RNA", at positions 28 to 507 of the family's 1533-position model. The record is from RNAcentral.